UCGCUUUCGGGCUAGUUCCUGCCUGCCUUCGGCCCAGACCCGGGAGGUCGACUUGAAAGCCCGGGAGACGGGGCUUUCGGGGCCCAGUAGUCAGUCCGUCAAGCUCUUCUGGGACACGGAGCAGCAGGACCUUUGGAGCUAAGCCUGCCGCCGGGACCAUCAGCCUUCCUUGAGAUCAGACAAAUAGAAAAUCAAGGCUGUGACUCUGCACCUACCACCAGCCAGCCAGCCAGCGUCCUUAGUCCUAAGAACCGGGAGAUGAAGACCCACAAGGCAGAGGGAGAGAGGCAGGCAGGAAGCUGGUGGAGGAGCCAGCAGACUCCCAAAUGACGACCUUCCUGCCGCUGCCGCCUGCAGCUCAGGCCUGUAGCCCACCUUCCUUCCUCAGGAGCUACAUCCUCAGAGAUGGCCAGGGACCUCCUAACCGCAGACAGUGAUUGGUCCCAGUCCUCUGUGGCUCUGUCCACCUUCUCUCUCCACUCUGCUGCCAAGUGGUCAAACCACGCGGGGCCGCGGGAGGCCCUCCCAGCCACGGGUAACUGAGAAGCGUGGGCCUCCCGCGGGCCUUGCUACAUAGCUCUACCCACUGAAACAUCUUGACAAGCACCUCAGAGUAGUCAGACGAUUGAGGAGGAAUAUUUUCCUUUAUAGAAUUCAGGGUGA
RNAcentral lists this long non-coding RNA (663 nucleotides) under Capra hircus (goat). RNAcentral's name for it is "lncRNA (ENSCHIG00010018367.1)". Lineage: Eukaryota; Metazoa; Chordata; Mammalia; Artiodactyla; Bovidae. The record is from RNAcentral.